Larimichthys crocea (large yellow croaker) is the source of this 2706-nucleotide long non-coding RNA. RefSeq lists it as uncharacterized. The transcript is spliced from 2 exons. The record is from RefSeq and is a predicted model, not a curated record. NCBI's taxonomy places the organism in Eukaryota, Metazoa, Chordata, Actinopteri, Sciaenidae.
AGUUCGAUAUCUCUUAGAGUCUGCAUAAACGGGGCCUAAGUUGAUAUUGUUCUGUCAGUCAUUAUCUUUCUUGGUGCAUUUUUUUUUUACUAUGCUGAUCAAUGUAAGACAGCUCGAUAUCUCUUAGAGUCCGCAUAAACGGGGCCUAAGUUGAUAUUGUUCUGUCAGUCAUUAUCUCUCUGGGUGCAAUUUUAUCAUGCUGAUCAAUGUAAGGCAGUUCGAUAUCUCUUAGAGUCCGCAUAAACGGGGCCUAAGUUGAUAUUGUUCUGUCAGUCAUUAUCUCUCUGGGUGCAAUUUUAUCAUGCUGAUCAAUGUAAGGCAGUUCGAUAUCUCUUAGAGUCCGCAUAAACGGGGCCUAAGUUGAUAUUGUUCUGUCAGUCAUUAUCUCUCUGGGUGCAUUUUUUUUUACUAUGCUGAUCAAUGUAAGACAGCUCGAUAUCUCUUAGAGUCCGCAUAAACGGGGCCUAAGUUGAUAUUGUUCUGUCAGUCAUUAUCUCUCUGGGUGCAAUUUUAUCAUGCUGAUCAAUGUAAGGCAGUUCGAUAUCUCUUAGAGUCCGCAUAAACGGGGCCUAAGUUGAUAUUGUUCUGUCAGUCAUUAUCUCUCUGGGUGCAUUUUUUUUUACUAUGCUGAUCAAUGUAAGACAGCUCGAUAUCUCUUAGAGUCCGCAUAAACGGGGCCUAAGUUGAUAUUGUUCUGUCAGUCAUUAUCUCUCUUGGUGCAAUUUUAUCAUGCUGAACAAUGUAAGGCAGUUCGAUAUCUCUUAGAGUCCGCAUGAACGGGGCCUAAGUUGAUAUUGUUCUGUCAGUCAUUAUCUCUCUGGGUGCAUUUUUUUUUACUAUGCUGAUCAAUGUAAGACAGCUCGAUAUCUCUUAGAGUCCGCAUAAACGGGGCCUAAGUUGAUAUUGUUCUGUCAGUCAUUAUCUCUCUGGGUGCAAUUUUAUCAUGCUGAUCAAUGUAAGGCAGUUCGAUAUCUCUUAGAGUCCGCAUAAACGGGGCCUAAGUUGAUAUUGUUCUGUCAGUCAUUAUCUUUCUUGGUGCAUUUUUAUCAUGUUGAUCAAUGUAAGGCAGUUCGAUAUCUCUUAGAGUCCGCAUAAACGGGGCCUAAGUUGAUAUUGUUCUGUCAGUCAUUAUCUUUCUUGGUGCAUUUUUAUCAUGCUGAUCAAUGUAAGGCAGUUCGAUAUCUCUUAGAGUCCACAUAAACGGGGCCUAAGGUGAUAUUGUUCUGUUUGAUAUCUCCAUGCCAUGUCGCUGUUAUGUGUUUGUAUGUGUUCUGUUUGUGGUUUUGGGCCAAAGACGAACAACAUCCAAGAGACCAACAGCAGAAGGAGAAAUACAACAUAAACAACAAAAUAAAUUUAAGUACACUUUUUUUUUUUUUUAAUUAAGCUUUGUUUUAAGUAGUUAUGUCAUUUACCUUUAUCUGUUCUCAUGAAACACUGUAUUAAUACUACUACUGUUUUUUUGUUUUUUUUUUCCUGUCCUGAAGGGAAAACAGCAAGACGGAAUCGACAACAUUAAGCUAAGUGCUUUUCUUACUUAUUCAUUUUUUAUAUUUCAUGAUUUCUUACAACUGUUUAUCUGUAAACCUAAACAUUACAUAGUUUGCUGUAUGAUUAUUCUAUCAUCUCAUUAAUGAUUUUCUCUCCUUUUUUUGUUGUUUGUGCAUAAAUCUGACACCUGAUGAACACUAUAGCAAGAAGGAUGGCAGCAACCCCAAAGACCAAAGUUGGAUCAUCAGUGAGGACUACAGCAAAGAUGGCAGCCGUUCAACCUGUGAAGAAUCAGCAUUCCAACACAGGGCUUGACGUAAAAUCCUAAUUAUUUAAGACUGCACUUUCAUUGCUUUCUAUCACAUUUUGGUCAGUACUUUGUAAAGAUAUAGUAUCAAACCAGAUGACAACUAGGAAGAACGCACUGCUUGAGUUAAUUUGAGCAAAUGUUCUCAUACUGUAUGCUGUUUUCAUAAGAUGUCUCAAUAUGUUUUUUGUUUUUUUUUUCAUAGACGCCAUGUCGCUGUUGCAUCGUGAUUUUGUGCUGAAGGGGAGCAACAUCCAAGAGACCAACAGCAGAAGGAGAAACACAGCAUGAACAACAAAAUAAAUUUAAGUACACUUUUUCUUGAUUUGUUUCCAGUACUUUUGUGAUUUACUAACGAUAUAUUGUUUGUAAACAGUGUAUUAAUACUAUUGUGUAUUUUUUUCCUGUCCUGGAGGGGAACAACAAGACGGAAUCAACAACAUUAAGCUAAGUGGUCUUUUUUCUUCAAUUUCUGACAAAUGCAACAUAUUACAUCAUUGAUGUUUUGUUUGCCGUAUGCUUAUUCUGUCAUCUAAUAAUUUUCUUUUUCUCUCCUUUUUUAUUUUUUUGUUGUUUUUUGAUUGUGCAUAAAUCUGACACCUGAUGAACAAAGAAGGAUGGCAGCAACCCCAAAGACAAAAGUCGGAUCAUCAGUGAGGGAUACAGCAAAGAUGGCAGCCGUUCAGUCUGUGAAGAAUCAGCAUUCCAACACAGGGCUUGAGAAUUGGUCGCGGCAGAUGGCCACCCACCAUGAUCCGGGUUCUGCUCAAGGUUUCUGCCACAGGCAGUUUUUCCUUGCCACCGUUGCCAGGUGCUUGGUCAUGCUGGGAAUUGUAAUAGAGAUUUUUUAAACUGUCAUCACAGAACUUUAUGAUUACAACAGUAUAUUAAACACUUUGUUAAUAUCC